AACUUUUGGCAACGGAUCUCUUGGCUCUCGCAUCGAUGAAGGACGCAGCGAAAUGCGAUAAGUAAUGUGAAUUGCAGAUUUUCAGUGAAUCAUCGAAUCUUUGAACGCACCUUGCGCCCCUUGGUAUUCCGAGGGGCAUGCCUGUUUGAGUGUCAUUGAAAUAUCAACCUUGGGUGGAUUUGCUUCCUCUCCGAUGGUUGGACUUUGGAGAGUGCUGGCGUCAGGUCGGCUCCUCUUAAAUGCAUCAGCGGAAAACUUUGACCUCUGGACGUCAGCGUGAUAAUCACGUUGCGCUGUCGACCGAGGUGUCAUCAUAAGGACCCGCUUCUAAUGGUCUUCGGACAGGACAUCAAAUUUGACCUCAAAUCAGGUAGGACUACCCGCUGAACUUAAGCAUAUCAAUAAGCGGAGGCU
RNAcentral lists this unclassified non-coding RNA (414 nucleotides) under uncultured Piloderma. RNAcentral describes it as "sequence contains ITS2". The stretch from base 1 to 155 matches the Rfam family "5.8S ribosomal RNA". Lineage: Eukaryota; Fungi; Basidiomycota; Agaricomycetes; Atheliales; Atheliaceae. The record is from RNAcentral.